This 490-nucleotide ribosomal RNA is filed under the name uncultured bacterium. Its description in RNAcentral is "partial 16S ribosomal RNA". It matches the Rfam family "Bacterial small subunit ribosomal RNA", at positions 28 to 507 of the family's 1533-position model. The record is from RNAcentral.
GAUGAACGCUAGCGAUAGGCUUAACACAUGCAAGUCGAGGGGCAGCAUUGUCUUAGCUUGCUCAGGCUGAUGGCGACCGGCGCACGGGUGCGUAACGCGUAUGCAACUUGCCUCACAGAGGGGGAUAACCCGUCGAAAGACGGACUAAUACCGCGUACACUCUAUGUUGGGCAUCCAAUGUAGAGGAAAUGAACUUCGCUGUGAGAUAGGCAUGCGUCCCAUUAGCUAGUUGGUGAGGUAACGGCUCACCAAGGCGACGAUGGGUAGGGGAACUGAGAGGUUGAACCCCCACAAUGGUACUGAGACACGGACCAGACUCCUACGGGAGGCAGCAGUGAGGAAUAUUGGUCAAUGGGCGAGAGCCUGAACCAGCCAAGUCGCGUGAAGGAUGACUGUCUUAUGGAUUGUAAACUUCUUUUAUACGGGAAUAACAAGAGUCACGUGUGGCUCCCUGCAUGUACCGUAUGAAUAAGCAUCGGCUAACUCCGUG